AGAAAUUGAGUCGAACAGAAUUGGAACAAAUUGUAAACCGAGUUGACAAAAAAGUCAAAAAACCAAACCUGACGAGGCUCACCUCAACAUAAUGGAUAUGCUAGCAUCGCGAUCGUCAUGUUGUCGAGACUAGGCUCACUCUCUUGUACAAAGCUUCCUUACCUUUCUUACCUACUAGAUUGUUGCUUUUCAAACCGCAAUCUAUCUCGUUAAUCUUUUC
RNAcentral lists this long non-coding RNA (220 nucleotides) under Prunus persica (peach). Its description in RNAcentral is "long non-coding RNA (PPER_LNC007204)". The record is from RNAcentral. Lineage: Eukaryota; Viridiplantae; Streptophyta; Magnoliopsida; Rosales; Rosaceae.